GGAUGAACCAAACGUAAAGUUAAAGUGCCUAAAAAUACGUUCAUCAGAUACCACAAAAAGGUGUUGAUUCAUCUUGACAGUUGGACAGUGGCCAUGGAAGUCGGAAUCUGCUAAGGAGUGUGUAACAACUCACCAACCGAAUGAAUUAGCCCUGAAAAUGGAUGGCGCUUAAAACGUAUUACUUAUACUUUACCAUUAAAAUAAAUGCUAAAUUUUAAUGAGUAGGAGGGCGUAUGGAUAAUUUAGAAGACUGAUAGUAAUGUUGGUUGGAAUUUAUCUUUAGUGCAGAUCUUGGUGUAGUAGCAAAUAUUCAAUAGAGAACAUUGAAGACUGAAGUGGAGAAAAGGUUUCCACAUGAACAACACUUGGAUGUAGAGUUAGUCGAUCCUAAAACGGUGGGUUAAACUCCAAAUACAUGAAUACUUGUAUUCUGUACCGUGAAAGGGAAACAGGGUUAAUAUUCCUGUACUAU
RNAcentral lists this ribosomal RNA (472 nucleotides) under uncultured eukaryote. Its description in RNAcentral is "eukaryotic LSU rRNA". It matches the Rfam family "Eukaryotic large subunit ribosomal RNA", at positions 1161 to 1627 of the family's 3401-position model. The record is from RNAcentral.